AACUCGGCCGCGUCCAACGCGCAGCACAAGCUCAUCCUCCGGAUCCUGGACCACGACCAUUUUUCCAGCGACGACUCGCUCGGGGAAGCGACGUGAGUGCCCGCCUGCCCGUCAACCAUGCCCAACCGCUAGUCCUAACUGGUCCGCCCUCCGGAACAGUUGACCGCGCAACCGCCCGCCCUAACCGUGGGAUUCCCCAUCAACCUCCGCAAAAUUUUGCAGGAUCGACGUGACGGGCAUCAUCAGCCUGGGCGCGGAGCGCGGCACGUACACCCAGAGCGCGGCGAAGCACAGCGUCGUCCUCGCCGACAACACGUUCCACGGCGAGAUCAAGGUCGGCUUCACCUUCACCGCCACCCAGGUGCGGUAGAGUUUCGGUCAUCAUGCGCGGCCGGUGUUUGUGCCCACAUGCAUUGUUGAGAUUUAUCUGCAUACCGAUGUGUGGUUUCAGGUUCAGGAAGAUGGAGAGGAAAUCGGAGGCUGGAGGUACAGCAGCUUUAAUCAGUAGGCGUGGUGACCUCUGAAGUUCUUUAGUUGGUUGGUUUGUAGUGAUUCGGGUUGGGUGUAGCUUUUGUUUAUACUUAGCCCCUACUCCUGGGUCCCCACUUCCUGAGUAGGGGGCUCUAAUUUUGUGUUCAA
RNAcentral lists this long non-coding RNA (639 nucleotides) under Setaria italica (foxtail millet). RNAcentral describes it as "long non-coding RNA (SITA_LNC004084)". Lineage: Eukaryota; Viridiplantae; Streptophyta; Magnoliopsida; Poales; Poaceae. The record is from RNAcentral.